GUAGGUGAACCUGCGGAAGGAUCAUUACCGAGUGAGGGCCCUCUGGGUCCAACCUCCCACCCGUGUUUAUUUACCUUGUUGCUUCGGCGGGCCCGCCUUAACUGGCCGCCGGAGGGCUCACGCCCCCGGGCCCGCGCCCGCCGAAGACACCCUCGAACUCUGUCUAAAGAUUAUAGUCUGAGUGAAAAUAUAAAUUAUUUAAAACUUUCAACAACAAAUCUCUUAAUUCCG
RNAcentral lists this unclassified non-coding RNA (231 nucleotides) under rhizosphere metagenome. RNAcentral's name for it is "partial ribosomal RNA internal transcribed spacer region". The record is from RNAcentral.